RNAcentral lists this ribosomal RNA (892 nucleotides) under uncultured bacterium. Its description in RNAcentral is "bacterial SSU rRNA". It matches the Rfam family "Bacterial small subunit ribosomal RNA", at positions 505 to 1397 of the family's 1533-position model. The record is from RNAcentral.
GUGCCAGCAGCCGCGGUAAUACGUAGGUGGCAAGCGUUGUCCGGAUUUAUUGGGCGUAAAGCGAGCGCAGGCGGUUUCUUAAGUCUGAUGUGAAAGCCUUCGGCUCAACCGAAGAAGUGCAUCGGAAACUGGGAAACUUGAGUGCAGAAGAGGACAGUGGAACUCCAUGUGUAGCGGUGAAAUGCGUAGAUAUAUGGAAGAACACCAGUGGCGAAGGCGGCUGUCUGGUCUGUAACUGACGCUGAGGCUCGAAAGCAUGGGUAGCAAACAGGAUUAGAUACCCUGGUAGUCCAUGCCGUAAACGAUGAGUGCUAGGUGUUGGAGGGUUUCCGCUCUUCAGUGCCGCAGCUAACGCAUUAAGCACUCCGCCUGGGGAGUACGACCGCAAGGUUGAAACUCAAAGGAAUUGACGGGGGCCCGCACAAGCGGUGGAGCAUGUGGUUUAAUUCGAAGCAACGCGAAGAACCUUACCAGGUCUUGACAUCCUUUGACCACUCUAGAGAUAGAGCUUUCCCUUCGGGGACAAAGUGACAGGUGGUGCAUGGUUGUCGUCAGCUCGUGUCGUGAGAUGUUGGGUUAAGUCCCGCAACGAGCGCAACCCUUAUUACUAGUUGCCAGCAUUUAGUUGGGCACUCUAGUGAGACUGCCGGUGACAAACCGGAGGAAGGUGGGGACGACGUCAAAUCAUCAUGCCCCUUAUGACCUGGGCUACACACGUGCUACAAUGGAUGGUACAACGAGUUGCGAGACCGCGAGGUUUAGCUAAUCUCUUAAAACCAUUCUCAGUUCGGAUUGUAGGCUGCAACUCGCUUACAUGAAGCCGGAAUCGCUAGUAAUCGCGGAUCAGCAUGCCGCGGUGAAUACGUUCCCGGGCCUUGUACACACCGCCCGU